RNAcentral lists this unclassified non-coding RNA (337 nucleotides) under soil metagenome. Its description in RNAcentral is "partial contains 5.8S ribosomal RNA, internal transcribed spacer 2, and large subunit ribosomal RNA". The stretch from base 1 to 120 matches the Rfam family "5.8S ribosomal RNA", at positions 35 to 154 of the family's 154-position model. The record is from RNAcentral.
GAUGAAGAACGUAGUGAAAUGCGAUAAGUAGUGUGAAUUGCAGAAUUCAGUGAAUCAUCGAAUCUUUGAACGCACAUUGCGCCCUUUGGUAUUCCUUAGGGCAUGCCUGUUCGAGCGUCAUUUACAAAUUCAAGCUCAGCUUGGUGAUGGGUGUCUGUCCCGCCUUUGCGUGUGGACUCGCCUCAAAUGCAGUUGGCAGCUUGUUCCUCGGCUCUAAACGCAGCAGAUUUGCGUCGAGCGUCGUGCGGACGGGCUCUCCAGUAAGCAAACCCCCACAAAUUGACCUCGGAUCAGGUAGGGAUACCCGCUGAACUUAAGCAUAUCAAUAAGCGGAGGA